Molecule: ribosomal RNA, 586 nt
Filed under: uncultured bacterium
Lineage: Bacteria
Description: partial 16S ribosomal RNA
Rfam family: Bacterial small subunit ribosomal RNA
Source: RNAcentral
UGGGGAAUUUUGGACAAUGGGCGAAAGCCUGAUCCAGCAAUGCCGCGUGUGUGAAGAAGGCCUUCGGGUUGUAAAGCACUUUUGUCCGGAAAGAAAUCCUCUGGGUUAAUACCUCGGGGGGAUGACGGUACCGGAAGAAUAAGCACCGGCUAACUACGUGCCAGCAGCCGCGGUAAUACGUAGGGUGCAAGCGUUAAUCGGAAUUACUGGGCGUAAAGCGUGCGCAGGCGGUUUUGUAAGACGGAUGUGAAAUCCCCGGGCUUAACCUGGGAACUGCAUUCGUGACUGCAAGGCUAGAGUAUGGCAGAGGGGGGUAGAAUUCCACGUGUAGCAGUGAAAUGCGUAGAGAUGUGGAGGAAUACCGAUGGCGAAGGCAGCCCCCUGGGCCAAUACUGACGCUCAUGCACGAAAGCGUGGGGGAGCAAACAGGAUUCAGGAUACCCUGGUAGUCCACGCCCUAAACGAUGUCAACUAGUUGUUGGGGAUUCAUUUCCUUAGUAACGUAGCUAACGCGUGAAGUUGACCGCCUGGGGAGUACGGUCGCAAGAUUAAAACUCAAGGAAUUGACGGGGUCAUAGCUGUUUCC